RNAcentral lists this ribosomal RNA (1085 nucleotides) under Myroides odoratus. RNAcentral's name for it is "bacterial SSU rRNA". It matches the Rfam family "Bacterial small subunit ribosomal RNA", at positions 122 to 1218 of the family's 1533-position model. Lineage: Bacteria; Pseudomonadati; Bacteroidota; Flavobacteriia; Flavobacteriales; Flavobacteriaceae. The record is from RNAcentral.
GGGUCCCCACAGGUUUUUAUUCCGUCUAAAUUCGGAUUAAUGCUCCCGGUUAAUAUGAAUGGCAUCGUUUAUAUAAUAAAGAUUUAUCGGUAAAAGAUGGGCAUGCGUAUCAUUAGCUAGUUGGUGUGGUAACGGCAUACCAAGGCUACGAUGAUUAGGGGUCCUGAGAGGGAGAUCCCCCACACUGGUACUGAGACACGGACCAGACUCCUACGGGAGGCAGCAGUGAGGAAUAUUGGUCAAUGGAGGCAACUCUGAACCAGCCAUGCCGCGUGCAGGAUGACGGUCCUAUGGAUUGUAAACUGCUUUUGUACGGGAAGAAAUGUAAUUACGUGUAAUUAUUUGACGGUACCGUAAGAAUAAGGAUCGGCUAACUCCGUGCCAGCAGCCGCGGUAAUACGGAGGAUCCGAGCGUUAUCCGGAAUUAUUGGGUUUAAAGGGUUCGUAGGCGGUUGAGUAAGUCAGUGGUGAAAUCUUAUAGCUUAACUAUAAAAUUGCCGUUGAUACUGCUUGACUUGAAUAGUAUGGAAGUAAUUAGAAUAUGUAGUGUAGCGGUGAAAUGCUUAGAUAUUACAUGGAAUACCAAUUGCGAAGGCAGAUUACUACGUACUUAUUGACGCUGAUGAACGAAAGCGUGGGUAGCGAACAGGAUUAGAUACCCUGGUAGUCCACGCCGUAAACGAUGGAUACUAGCUGUUCGGUUUUCGGACUGAGUGGCUAAGCGAAAGUGAUAAGUAUCCCACCUGGGGAGUACGUUCGCAAGAAUGAAACUCAAAGGAAUUGACGGGGGCCCGCACAAGCGGUGGAGCAUGUGGUUUAAUUCGAUGAUACGCGAGGAACCUUACCAAGGCUUAAAUGUAGAUUGACAGGUUUAGAGAUAGACUUUUCUUCGGACAAUUUACAAGGUGCUGCAUGGUUGUCGUCACCUCGUGCCGUGAGGUGUCAGGUUAAGUCCUAUAACCAACGCCACCCCUAUUGUUAGUUGCCAGCGAGUCAAGCCGGGAACUCUAACAAAACUGCCGGUCCAACCCUGAAGAAAGGUGGGAAUGACUUCCAUUCAUCCCGGCCCUACCUCUUGGGCUACC